UUUCUAUUUUUUGUAGAGAUGGGGCCUCACUCUUGCUCAGGCAGGUCUCAAACUCCUGAUUUCAAGCGAUGCUCUCGCCUGGGUCUCUUAAAAUGCUACAAUUACUGUUGUGAGCUACCACGAAGGCCAGGAGAUUUAUUUAUUUUUUUAAAGAAUUAAAAUCUGCCAAAGAAUAAAGCUAAGGGAAUUACAUUGAAUUUGAGGAAAAGCAUACAAAUAUGAAAGUUAAACUUCAAAGGACACACUCCAGACUUCUUUGUUAAAUGAGUGGGAUCAUGAGAGUACUGAGUUCAGACAGCUUAAAGGAGCCAAGGACCUUGGGAGAGGAAGGAAAGGAGGGACUGGGAAAGUGGGGAGUAUGGAGAGGGAAAUGAAGAAUUCCAGGUGGGAUUAACCCAGGAGGGUUAAUCAGAAUGGGCAACUUUUAUUUUGUUACAUAAAGAUAGAAAAUCCUAAAUUUUAUUUGUUUUCUACUGCUAAAGUUAAAAAUCUAAAUCUAUUAAGUGACUUUUUAAUGUCUGAAUUUUACCAGCAGCCCUUUGUAGAGUGAAAUUGGGAGGAAAAAAGAAAAGGAUAAUCUAAAAUUAGAUGUUUUCUGAACAAUAAACUAAUAAUCUGAUUGGCUGAAAUAUGCAAAGGAAACCAAACUCCUUUGUGCUGCUUCAUUCAUUCAUUCUUCAUUCAUUGUGUUGAAUCUUCAAAUUGUCUAACACUUGACACCUUCUCCUGCCACAGCUCUGCAAAAGCCACUGAUUUGAGCAAUAGGCCUUACCAUGGCCAAGACCUGCAAAACAGGUCUAACGGAUAUGCUUUUGCUUACCAUCUGGUGGCCAGCUGAAAGAACCGGAAGGGAAACAUGCCUCUGUUUUUUUCUCAGUUUCUGCUGCGUUCAAGAUAAGCCUCCCUGCUCAUUCUGUUUUAACACUUUUCUGAUAUGAUAUUUCAGAAGAAAAUAUUAUGGAGAUAUAUCAAUGAUCGGCACCAUUUUGGAAUUCUGGUCCCAAAACUUCUAAAGAAUACAGUAAAAAGAAAUAACCUGCUCUGCAUAAAGUGAUUAUGAAGAUACGUGUUGAGUGCAACAUGGCGCAGCAGCCUCAUCAAAAAGGUCUGAUUUCAAAGAUGUUCCUGAAACCUCACCUACAGCAGCACUCUCGGUGUCC
Molecule: non-coding RNA, 1160 nt
Organism: Microcebus murinus (gray mouse lemur)
Lineage: Eukaryota; Metazoa; Chordata; Mammalia; Primates; Cheirogaleidae
Source: RefSeq, a predicted model, not a curated record